GAGGAGAAGGGGACGACAGAGGAUGAGAUGGCUGGAUGGCAUCACUGACUCGAUGGACGAUUGGCCUAAGUAACUUUCUUGAACAACUGAAUGCAGUAGAAGUGACAUUUUGAGGCUUCUGAGACUAGAUCAUCACAAGCAGACUUACAGACCCCACUGCUUCACUUUCUUGGAGCACUCACUCUUAGGGUUCUGAGCUGUCUUGUAAGUAAGAGGUCAACCACCCUGAGACUUCCCUGCUGGAAAGAUGCAUAUGAAGAGAGCGUGGAGAGAGCAAUGCUGGCCGUCCCCAAGCUGUUCCAGCCUUCUGAGGCAGAUAUGUGAGUGAAGACAACGCCUUGGAGGACACUGCAGUCCCAGCAAAUAGCUCGUGAAGAACCGAAGAAGCCAGCCAACAGCCUUACCGAGGCCCCAGAUAUAUAUGACCCCUGUGGGGCUGUCUCAGACAUCUCCAGCUGUUCAAACCACCCCAGUCGAGGAUCCAGGCCCUGCCAGAACUAGUGACCCACAAAAUUGUGAGCACAGUAUGUGAUUAUUGUUUCAGAGCAAUAAACAACCAAACACCUGGUAACCUCCUAGCUGGGUGAGCCCUGGUAGACUGUGUCCCUCUGCCCAAGUCUCUCCAAGACAGCCUCUCCAUAGAACUACUUUUGCUUUACAGCCUAUGGGAAGGAGUGACUCCCUGCCAUCAAGCACUGUACUAUCUUUUGUCAUUGGCUUUUAAAAAUCUUGUCCACCUUUCAAAAUAAAGUCCCUUAAUUAAAUUCUCCUGCA
Cervus elaphus (red deer) is the source of this 774-nucleotide long non-coding RNA. RefSeq lists it as uncharacterized. The record is from RefSeq and is a predicted model, not a curated record. The transcript is spliced from 2 exons. NCBI's taxonomy places the organism in Eukaryota, Metazoa, Chordata, Mammalia, Artiodactyla, Cervidae.